Molecule: ribosomal RNA, 253 nt
Filed under: uncultured bacterium
Lineage: Bacteria
Description: partial 16S ribosomal RNA
Rfam family: Bacterial small subunit ribosomal RNA
Source: RNAcentral
GACGAACCGUCCUAACGUUGUUCGGAAUCACUGGGCUUAAAGGGCGCGUAGGCGGCUUUUUAAGUCAGGGGUGAAAUCCUGGAGCUCAACUCCAGAACUGCCUUUGAUACUGGGAAGCUCGAGUCCGGGAGAGGUGAGUGGAACUCCGAGUGUAGAGGUGAAAUUCGUAGAUAUUCGGAAGAACACCAGUGGCGAAGGCGGCUCACUGGCCCGAUACUGACGCUGAGGUGCGAAAGCGUGGGGAGCAAACAGG